GCCCGCAGGUUCCAGCCCCGACCCGGGCGCGCGGGGCCGACUAGGGUCGGGUCCAGUGUGCGGUGGUCGCUCCGCUCCGGGCCGCUCCGCUCUGGGCGUCAGGGCGCGGGGAGCUGCCCCGGGGUUCUGUCCACCGGGGAGGAAAGCCACGAGCACUGAGCGCCUCCUGAGAGCCAGCCCUGACGUGAACUCAUUUUAUCUGCCACGACCCAGAAGCAUGAGUUCUUCUGUUUCUUCUGCGUGGGUUGACCAUGGGCAUCAGGCAUCAGAGAUACAACUCUGGAUCUUGUCCAUCCAUUGCUGGGCACUCUGUCCAUCCUGGGCGCAGAAGUUAUACACACGUUUGCUGGUCUUGAGCUACAAAACCAAAUGACAGUGAACCAGAGAUGAAGGGCAGGGCUGUUUUAUGGAUUUGGGAGUCUACUGCUAAGAUUUCAGCAUGUCCUGUGGCUGAGUUAAUCAGAGUUAUGACAGGAAGGUACCGGGCACACCAUCGCAAUGCUCCAUCAAUGCUAGUAUGUUGUGUUCUUUCCUUCAUAUCAAGUCAACUCAAGCUUGCUCUACUUACCUGGUGUACACAGUCUAAGAACUGUAAGAAGACUGGAGCAAAACCACUCCCCUGACAGUUGAGGGUCAAGCUGCUCCUCUGACUGAAUUUGUGACCAAAAGAGAGCCACUCUUUUUCAACCAACAUCUGGAAGCCUUCAAGUGUCCUAUAAAAGGGAUCACUGAGUAACUGAACCAGGGAUGUCACCUAGGGCAUAAGCAGGAUGGAUUGUCAUUAAUUUUAGUUCUGAAAAAGGCCUAUUACUAAGAUAAAAGCACUUCCUUCUGAUGAUAGCUAAUUCACAAAUUUACCUGGACAGCAAAUUUGUUCACUAACCAUUCCAGGAUGGCCAAUAAAAUUAAUUUUGUAAACUUGCCAGUAAAAACUAAAGCUCAAAUUCAUUUUGGCUACAAGUUUACUUUCAGGGAAUUGAGACUUUAAUCCUUAACUGGCCAGUUUGCUGACAGCAACCUUUUCCUAAGUUAAUCAGAGGCCAGAGGAUCAGUUAAAAUCAAUUCUACUUUUUGGCAGAUGCAGAUUAAUGUCUUAAUGUAGUCUGAACUCACACUUUUCACUCUGGAGUGAGUUAAGGCGGGGCUUAUAGAGAGCCAGGGGAUGGACUGACAAAACCCAGGAAGGAUGGUCCACGCCUCACACUGCUGGUCAAGGGCUCCAUCCGCAAGCCUGCAUGGUACAUCUGUGGAUGGGAGAGCUUGAUGCCCGGAGCCAGAGCUCCAGGCUGCGUAGGGGCUAAGAGCUCAUGGUACGGAGUUUUCUGAUGGAUACCAGGUGCUGUUUAACACAGGACUUUCUCUGUCCAUAAACACAUUAGUCAUUAUACAAAAGAGUCAUCUGAAGAAUUUAAAAAUGACCAAAUGGAAAUAUAAAUAUAAAAUAUCAAAAAAUAUGUCUAAUAGUUUACUUGUGCAGUGAUGUCCCAGCCUUCCUCCAAACAGACCAAAACUGAGGAACCAUUCUCAAGUACUUCUGAUACAACCACAGCCAGCUGCAUUAUCCUGUGAAGCUAAGAGACAGGAAGGAGAACACAAUUAGACCAAGCGCUUUCUGAGUGCAGAAGUCAGAGAGAGUUGCUUUCAACCCUGGAUAAUCAAACGACUUAGGGAUAAAGCGCUUGCACAAAAGAACCACAUAAUGUUUUAAAUACCUAAAGUUCUUUCAAAUCAAGAUUAAACAAUGACACUUUUGACUGGAUGCAAUGACUCAUGCCCAUAAUCCCAGCACUUUGGGAGGCCGAGCCGGGCAGGUCAUUUGAGGUUCGGAGUUCGAGACCAGCCUGGGCAACAUAGUAAGACCCCAUCUCAAUGAAAACAACAACAAAAUGACACUUCAAAAAAGUAGACACAUUUUAAAACAAUACAUUCUAGUAAUACAUAAUGAAAUAAAAUUACCUUACAUGAUUCCCCCAAAAGUAGGUGAGCUAUAAUUCCAUAGAGUACAAAAAACAGAGAUUCUAUGUGGACUUCCCAACAAAAGACGGAAAUUCAGAUGAAUUUUAUUGGAUUUAAAAUUUGUUUUUCCAUGAUGUAGUAAGUUUUGUUUCAGACAUUUUUUUUUUUUUUUUUUGAGACAAAGUCUCGCUCUGUCACCCAGGCUGGAGUGCAGUGAUGCAAUCCUGGCUAACCACAACCUCUGCCCCCCGGGUUCAAGCGAUUCUCCUGCCUCAGCCUCCCGAGUAGCUUGGAUUACAGGUGCAUACCAGUGCACCCGGCUAAUUUUUUGUAUUUUUAGUAGAGACGAGGUUUCACCAUGUUGGCCAGGCUAGUCUUGAACUCCUGACCUCAGGUAAUCCACCUGCCUCAGCCUCCCAAAGUGCUAGCAUUACAGGCGUGAACCACCACGCCUGGCCUAUUUCAGGUAUUCUUAAUUUUUUGGGAAUUAGAUAGUGGUGAUAGUUACACAAUGUUGUGGACAUACCAAAAAGCGUUGAGUUGUGCACCUUUAUCAUAAGGAUAAAUUUUAUGGUAAGUGAAUUAUAUGUUAAAAAAGAAACUCCUGGCUGGGUGUGGUGGCUCAACGCCUGUAAUCCCAGCACUUUGGGAGGUUGAAGCAGGAGUAGUGCUUGAGCUCAGGAGUUUGAGACCACCUGGGCAACAUGGCAAAACCCCAUCUCUACAAAACAUACAAAAACCAGCCAGGCGUGGUGGCAUCUGCCUGUAAUCCCAGCUACUCAGGAGGCUGAGGUAGGAGGAUCGCUUGAACCUGGGAGAUCGAGGCUGCAGUGAGCUGUGAUUGUGCCACUGCACUCUAGCCUGGGUGACAGAGCAAGACCCUGUCUCGAAAAAUAAAAAUAAAAAAGAUACUCCUAUUUGUCUAUACUGUGUACUAAAUGAGAAAAAAACUUUCAAUAUAUUUGUGCUAAGUUUUUAAAGCCACAUCAAUUGGCUCAAAGUCCUUAAUAAACAAUUAAGGUAUGAGAAUAGUAUAUAGAUUUUAAAACCAGAUGUAUAACAUUGUAAUUUUAAAAAAUAUUUUAAUGAUCAUCAGACAUAAUUUGCAAUUUGAAUCCAACUCUGAACAAGAACAAAAAUGAAAAAACCCAUCUCUUAAACAGAGCUAGGCUACUUUAAACACAGGAAUAAGGCAAAUGCCCUACUCAGUAAUGAGAAGCUCCUCAUGUAACUGUUUCUACAACAUAGCUAUCACCAGGCCUGAAUUCUUUUGGGCUCAGAAUUUGUUCUAAGAAAUGGCUAUUAUUAAAAAGUCAAAAAAUAACAGAUGCUGGCGAGCCUGUGGAGAAAAGGGAAUGUAUAUACAUUUCUGGUGGGAAUGUAAAUUAGUUCAGCCAUUGUAGAAAGUAGUUUGGUGAUUUCUCAAAUAACUUAAAACAGAAUUACCAUUUGACCUAGCAAUCCCAUUACUGAGUAUAUACCCAAAGGAAUAUAAAUUGUUCUACCAUAAAGUCACAUGCACACACAUGUUCAGUGCUGUACUAUUCACAAUAGCAAAGACAUGGAGUCAACCUAUAUGCCCAUCAACGGUAGACUGGAUAAAGAAAAUAUGGUACAUAUACACCAUGGAAUACUACACAGCCAUAAAAAGAAUGAGCUUAUGUCCUUUGCAGUAACACAGCUGAAGCAAACUAACACAGGAAUGGAAAACCAAAUACUGCAUAUUCUCACUUAUAAGUGGGAGCUAAACAUUGAGUACACAUGGACACAAAGAAAGGAAUAGACGCCUGGGGCGUAUUUGAGGUUGGAGGUGAGAGGAGGGUGAGGAUAGAAAAACUACCUAUCAGGUACUAUGCUUAUUACCUGGGUGAUGAAAUAAUCUGUACACCAAACUCCCAAGAUAUGCAAUGUACCUAUACAACAAACCUACAUAUGUACCCCUGAACACAAAAUAAAAGUUAAAAAAAGAAUUUGCUUUAAGAGUUAACUUUUAAGAUGUCAAUAUCCCAAGUGGGCAAUUAUUUUCCACUGUCUUUAGUCCCUAUCUUUUGGUACAGGUCCACUUUCUAGCAAAGAGUAGAGCACAGAAUGUAUCAGAAACAUGGAUAGAUAAGUUGGGUGGAGGGGUCCGUUUGGAGCUGGGGCUCAUAGCCUGGGGACAGAAGGGAGUAUCGACCAGUUCCUUCCACGGGUAUGCAAAGCACCCUAAAUUGCCUUAAUAAUAAUGAACACAGCAUGAUACAUUUAUAGCCAAAUAUUUAUGUGGCGGCAUUUCUCUUUGGUUUAAGUAUCUUGAGAACAGUCACAGCCCUGAGUACUGACAUCAUUUCCUUUUUUUUUUUUUGCCUUUUAGUCCAAUGUGCUGUGGGAAACAAGAGGCAGGAUGCUUGGAGGUAGAUGGAGGCAGGGGACUGGGAAUUUCUGCAAGGUGAUAACAAAUAAUGGGGGCCAGGCGUGGCAGCUCAUGCCUGUAAUCACAGCUCUUUGGGAGGUCAAGGUGGGAGGAUUACUUGAGGCCAGGAGUUCAAGACCAGCCUGGGCAAUAUAAGAAAUAAAGGGGCUUAAAGACAAGGCCCUUUAAUUUCUCAAUAAAAGUUCAAUUAAGAAUAUCCCAAAGUUGACUGAACUGAAAGAUGAUAGACACUGUGUUUUUUUUUCAAGCCUUAGGUAGGCUUGGGGGCAUCCAGUGUGCCUUUGGUGGGUAGUGUGGGGUGGAUCUAAAAUCUAGAGACCUGGGAUAGGCAGACAAAUGAAAGGUGAGAGCUCUUGGGAGUCAUGCAGAAGUUGCCCUCUGCCCUGGAUCCUUACUGUAUUGACAACAGAGCAGGAGCCCUGUAAAUACAUGCUGAUUAAAUUUACAUCAAAGAUUUCCAUCUAAAAAUAAUUUUCUCCUUAGUGUCCUAUAGAUACCAAACUUUUAAAUACACAGAGAUAAAAACCCAGCGAUCAAGACUUCUACUCCCUCACCUCCUAUACCAGAUGAUUUCCUUAGUCUGAAAGGCCUUUACUGAUGGCACACAAUGAAGGAGGAGAAUGUUGGGGAGUAGGGGAACAAAGUAUUUUUUUUCUCAAAUACAGUUCUGUAUAUCUACUUGGGCCUCUGUUUCUUUGAGUUAUAAAGAAAGAAGCUGCUUCAGACAUUACCUGUGGGAACCACUCAGAAUCUCCCAGCGCUUUCAGGAAGGUCACUUCUGAGUCAGUAGGGAUGGUGCUUGGGAUACAAGCCCUCAUCAGCUUCUUAAAACUGGCUUUCACUUGCCGGAUUUCAUGAAAUUCAACAGGAACAAACUCACAAUUUAAAGCAAAUUCUACCUUGAAGUUCUGCGGAUGAAGAUUCAGAGAAUUAGGCAGAUGAAGUGCUAUAGGUAAAAGAGUGAUGUUUCCAAUGGGGCAGUGCAUAAUGACAAAGUUAUUUGGGGCCAAAUAGCUGCAGAGGCUGCCAAUGGGUCAAGAAAGUCAAUCUUGUACAGCAAUGUGUCAGUGUUGGUGGGAACAGCCAUUCAGUACAAGCUAGUGGUUUGCCCAGAAUGGCAAAUCUAGUCCUUACUAGAGGUAGAUUACUUAGCCUAAGAAUGCGUUCAUUCUGAGAACUGGAAGAGCCUACUGGUAGACUGGAACUUGAUGGAGCUCAUAAUACCAAAUAUAAGUCAAUUAUAAGGCCAUGAACCUGGAAGUUUAAAGAGAAACUAAUGAUACAUGGACAGUAUGAUUACUCCAACAGUGUAAACUAAGUCUUCCCAAGAUGUAUAUGGUAAGGGAUAGGUAACACACUGUUGGAGUUCCAGACUGUACGUGUAUUAAAGUUUGUAGAUAUGCACAUAUUUGUUUCUUAUUAUGCAAGUAAAACAUAUUCAUAAUAAAAAUGAAAAAAGGUAGAGAUAAAUAUUGAGAAAGAAAUAGAAAUCACUUUCUUACUGCCCCAAGACUACCAACAUUGUGGUUAUUUUUUUGUUUUUUUGGGAUGGAGUCUUGCUCUGUCACCCAGGCUGGAGCGCAAUGGUGCGAUCUUGACUGACUGCAACCUCCGCUUCCCAGGUUCAAGCGAUUCUCCUGCCUCAGCCUCCCGAGUAGCUGGGACUACAGUCGUGCGCCACCAUACCCAGUUAAUUUUUGCAUUUUUAGUAGAGAUGGGCUUUCACCAUGUUGCCCAGGAUGGUCUCAAUCUUUUGACCUUGUGAUCCGCCCACCUCGGCCUCCCAAAGUGCUGAGAUUACAGGCGUGAGCCACCACGCCCAGUCCUACUUCUUAAAAGUCAAUAAUAAAAAAUUACAUGGUCGGGCACGGUGGCUCAUGACUGUAAUCUCAGCAGUCUGGAAGGCUGAGGCAGACAGAUUACCUGAGGUCAGGAGUUCAAGACCAGCCUGGCCAACACGGUGAAAUCCCAUCUCUACUAAAAAUACAAAAAGUAGCCAGGCGUGGUGACAGGCACCUGUAAUCGCAGCUACUCGGGAGGCUGAGGCAGGAGAAUCACUUGAACCCCGGAGAUGGAGGUUGCAGUGAGCUGAGAUGACACCACUGCACUCCAGCGUGGGCAGCAGAGUGAGACUCCACCUUAAAAAAAAAAAUUACAUAAAAAAACCACGAAAGGCUUUGUUCAUUUCUAUCUUUG
RNAcentral lists this long non-coding RNA (6565 nucleotides) under Homo sapiens (human). RNAcentral's name for it is "HSALNT0361305". The stretch from base 2699 to 2846 matches the Rfam family "Metazoan signal recognition particle RNA". The record is from RNAcentral. Lineage: Eukaryota; Metazoa; Chordata; Mammalia; Primates; Hominidae.